GCUGACCUGCCACUGCAGCAGGUCAGUGGGCCUGCUGUGCUACACGAUAGCUGGAUUAAGGCUCCAGUCUCUUCGGAGGCGUGGGUUCGAAUCCCACCGCUGUCAGUA
Merluccius polli (Benguela hake) is the source of this 108-nucleotide non-coding RNA. The record is from the annotation of a GenBank genome assembly. Lineage: Eukaryota; Metazoa; Chordata; Actinopteri; Gadiformes; Merlucciidae.